UAUAUUUCUUUAGCUCAUGGGUAUUUGAUUUUGGGAAUAAAUCCUAGUGAUUUGAUAAGAUUUGUGUCUAAAUCUCUUGGGUUGAUUGGAAAAUGAGAGAGAGAUACCGAGAGAAAUCUGCAGAAAUUGAGGGAAAGCCCGAAAUGUGAGAUGCUGUCCGGCCAUGAGAGACGAAGAAGGGAAGGAGAAGCAACGGUUCAUGGGUUCCGGCCAUGGGCCUUUGUGGGGAUAGUGUCCGGAUUGGAGACUUAAAUGGGUUCUCUGAUGUAGAGUUCGAGUCAUGAGUCCAAUGCAGCCAAAAUGAUGUUUCUUUGGCUGCAGGUAUUCCGGUCGUAGUAUAUGGUGUUGUAGAAGUAUACUGAGGAUAUUAUGACUGAAGCUCAACGCGACGGUUGUAAUGUGUUAGACCGCGGGAUGUCUAUUCCUUUAGGUAUUUUGAUUAUGGCUUGUGACGCUUGUGCCACAUGAUCUUUGUUAAGCCAUUUAUGUGAUGUAUUUAAUUCGAGGAAAGAUUUAAUCAUAUAGUUAUUUAAUGGCUCUUUGUUGUAAUUAUUUGUGAUAGAUGUAUAAGAUGUGAUUUCCGCUAUUAGGUUA
Molecule: long non-coding RNA, 594 nt
Organism: Alnus glutinosa
Lineage: Eukaryota; Viridiplantae; Streptophyta; Magnoliopsida; Fagales; Betulaceae
Exons: 3
Source: RefSeq, a predicted model, not a curated record